RNAcentral lists this ribosomal RNA (111 nucleotides) under uncultured eukaryote. Its description in RNAcentral is "partial small subunit ribosomal RNA". It matches the Rfam family "Eukaryotic small subunit ribosomal RNA", at positions 1675 to 1785 of the family's 1831-position model. The record is from RNAcentral.
GUCGCACCUACCGAUUGAAUGAUCCGGUGAAGCCUCGGGAUUGUGGUCAGUUUGCUUCAUUGUGAAUGGAUUGCGAGAACUUGUCUAAACCUUAUCAUUUAGAGGAAGGUG